AAAGUCGUAACAAGGUUUCCGUAGGUGAACCUGCGGAAGGAUCAUUUAUGAGCGAGCCGAAAGGCAAGCAUAAUAUCCAUAACACAGUGAACUGUUGGCUUCGGCCAAAUUUUUACAAACUUUGUGUAAUGAACGUAUAAUACUAUAAUCAAUAAAACUUUCAACAACGGAUCUCUUGGCUCUC
RNAcentral lists this unclassified non-coding RNA (184 nucleotides) under Basidiomycota sp. RNAcentral describes it as "partial contains small subunit ribosomal RNA, internal transcribed spacer 1, and 5.8S ribosomal RNA". The stretch from base 1 to 47 matches the Rfam family "Eukaryotic small subunit ribosomal RNA", at positions 1785 to 1831 of the family's 1831-position model. The record is from RNAcentral. Lineage: Eukaryota; Fungi; Basidiomycota.